Long non-coding RNA from Acinonyx jubatus (cheetah), 3413 nucleotides. RefSeq lists it as uncharacterized. The record is from RefSeq and is a predicted model, not a curated record. NCBI's taxonomy places the organism in Eukaryota, Metazoa, Chordata, Mammalia, Carnivora, Felidae. The transcript has 5 exons.
CUCGCUCUUUCCGCCGUCAAAAUGGCGGCGGCGGCGGCGGCAGCAGAGGUAGCGUCGACGCCGGUAGUGACCAGGCUGAAGAAGUUGCUUCCGAAAACAUCGAUGCGAAGGAUCGUCGAAUUGAUGAUGCGCACGCGCACAGCUCCAUACCUUCUAUCUACCCAACAACUGGGCUGGGAGAGUAAUAGUGUCUACACGGCAGAAGUGAAGAAACAGAUUUAGGCUAAGCAAACUGCCUGAUGUUAUAACUACAUGUAGUGGCAAAUGCGAGAUUGAAACAUGGACUUGAGUGGCUUUGAAAUCUCUGUGCCUUCCACAGCAAUAAAAGUCAGAAGAAAAGAGAUGGUACAUCUAGAUGGACUGGUAAAAAUGGAGCACUGCCAAGCAAACCCCAAGAAAAUGUCCAGCCUCAACAUGAAGUUUUACUGGCUUCUGAGGAAGUGAAAGAUGUCUGAGUGCGGACCUAAGAUAUGAAUUGUCAAGGGAUGUGGAGGAACAAAGAGAUCCACAGAUGGAUCAUUCAACUCCUGCCACAAUUAUGCUAUGUAAUGAAGAGCCAUAAAACCUCGGUGACAUACAGUUUCCUGCCUUGAUAUCGGUUCUGAUGGAGGUUCCUACUUGGAGGUUUCUGCUCCGGUAAGUGGCAAUUCUCUAUAUCCACCUGUCUCUUCCAUUUUGGGGACAGUUCUUUGCCCUGUGACCUCAAUUCUCUGUAGAAUCUAAGAAGAGUUGUUGAUUUUUGGUUCAGUUUUUUUUCUUAUUGUGUGGACGAAAGUGAUGGUUUCUAAGAUUUUUACUUGCCAGACUAGAAACUAGAAGUUGCUACUUUUUCAACAUGAGACUUAAAGCUUUGCCACAGCAGAAGGAAACACCUUAGAGAAUUGCGUGGUGGCUCCUAAAUUCUCCAGCUUGACAGUGACAUGUCAUUUCUAUUCAUAUUUCAUUGGCUAAAGCAAGUCAAUGAUUUUAAAAUGUGAGUAAAUAUAACCCUCCAGUGUUCCUAGAAGAUGAGCAUUAGGAAUACUGGAGAAACAAUAUUAAUGCUGAACAGAGCAUUCUAUAGAAGAUAGUAUUUCCAACUCCAUUUACCACUUUAUGUCUUCUUUCUAGCACUUUAUAAUACUAUAUUAUGUCAUACAUAAGGUAUUAUAAAGAAACCUAUUAUGGUAAAUACUCUGUUUAUUAUUUGUCUCUCCUCUCCUACCCCCACCGAAGUGAGGAUCACAGGAACAGGAACUUUGUCUGUUCUAGUCACUUUUUAUCCCCUAAACCCAGAAUAUCUAGUACUCAAUAGAUAUUUGGUAAAUGAAUUAAUGAGUGCAUAUUGUUUUAACCUUGGGAGCCCAGAAAAAUGAACCCUUGCUUGAACUCUUUAUCUCGGCCAAAUCUGGCCCAGAGGCUAUCUUUCCAAUAGGAAUGUAGCUGCAAAAACCUGUGCAGAGUGCUUGUCAGGCUAACUGGGCAUAGCCUUUGCUAUUAGGCAACAAAGAAAGAAUGAAAGAGGCUCGGAAGUUCCCAGGAACAUGGUGAUUGCUAUUUGAAGGUGAGAGUAUACACAAUCUGAGGGAAAAUGAGGUUUGAAAAUGAAUUUAGGCUUUUAAACCAUGCAGGCAAAAAGUGUUGAUAACUUGAAAAACAGGUAAAUUCUCAAUUGAAAAAUCUUCUUAUCUCAGGUUUAUGUUCAUAAUCAGGGAUAUGCAGCUCUCAUUCCUCACUGGAAACCAAAAAGCUAAAUCACCUUUUAAAUAUGAAAUUUAGAUACAAUGCUUGGAACAUCCUCCUCAAAGAGCGGACCUGCCAGAUUCUGUGCUGGUUGAAAUGUGGGCUUCUUGCUGGUUCAGGCACACUGUCUUUGUGCUGUUUAGGCUUAUUGUUCACUCUGAGCUUAAUGAGUUCAUUCAGGCAUGUAAUGAAGAACAACACUAUCACACAAACAAUUCACUGAAGUCCAAAGAUAUGGUGAUUUUAUCAAUUAUAUUAUUCAGUUAGAGUAAAUUUGCAAUUUAUUAAAAAUACAUAGAUUGAGUGGCAUCUGGAGUACUGUUGUGUUGACACCCGUAGUUUUCACAGCUAUGCUAUAAAACAAAAUCUGGAAUUGAUGGCAUUUGAUGCAGUCAGUGUAAAGCUUUUGUCUCUCUACUUGCUAGAGGAAAUAGAUGAGAGCAAUGCAGUUGUGGAUCACAGGCCCUCUGGUGUGAAAUUCAUCCUAACUAAGCUGAAAACAUUUGAUGGCCAAAGGCAUGGACUCCCAUGGCAAAUGAUUUUCAUUUUCACCUCCACUAGCUUUGGCUAAUGGGAAGAACACAAGGCUAGAAGGCAGGUGAACUCCACUGGUUAUUCAAGAAUUACUUGAUCUAAGCAAAUCAUUUGCUUUUUUUUUUCUCUUUUCUUCUGUUUUAUACUAAAGUCUUUUAUGGAAUUUUCAGAGUGUGUAUGUGUGUGUGUGUGUGUGUGUGUGUGUGUGUGUAUAUAUAUAUAUAUAUAUAUAUAUAUAUAUAUAUAUAUAUAUAAUCUUAUUUAAUCUUACAGCAGCUCAGUGAGGUUAGCUGGUCAAGUAUUCUCACUUGCAUUUCUACAUAAGAGACACUGUUACUUGGAGAUUUGAGUGGGAAAGAGUUCAGAGAUUUUGACCCUAAGGCCAAUGUUUUUUGUUUUUGUUUUUACCAUUAUACAGCAAUGAUGCUCUGGACCUCAGUUUCCUCAUUUCAAACCAAGGAUAAAUACACUUAGUUUGUUAACUUAAGUUGUGAUGAUGACAAGAGAUAGUUGAAUUUUUAAAUGUUGUGACUAUGCAAAGCUUUACGUAGUUGGAAAAUUAUCAUCUUGCUUGUGUUAAGUCCAAGGGCUCUUCCUUAGACCAUAAAACCUUCUUCUCCACAUUCUUCUACAAAAAAUGUUCAACAGUGAUAACAUGUGUAUAGACCCCUGGAAUUUACCAUUGAAAACAUUUAAAUUGUUUUAAUGUUUAUUUAUUUUUAGAGACAGAGCACAAGCAGGGGAGGGGAAGGGAGAGAGGGAGACACAGAAUCUGAAGCAGGUUCCUGGGCUCUGAGCUGUCAGCACAGAGCCCAAUGUGGGACUCAAACUCAGAACCGUGAGAUCAUGACCUGAGCUGAAGUCGGACGCUUAACCUACUGAGCUUGAGCUAAGCUACCCAGGUGCCCUGAUCUGGGGCUCUCUUAAAAGAAGAGUGGAAAGUCAUUAAAAAGCAGCCAAACAGGGGCGCCUGGGUGGCUCAGUCGGUUAAGCGUCUGACUUCAGCUCAGGUCACGAUCUCGCGGUCCGUGAGUUCGAGCCCCGCGUCGGGCUCUGGGCUGAUGGCUCAGAGCCUGGAGCCUGCUUCUGAUUCUGUGUCUCCCUCUCUCUCUGCCCUUCCCCUGUUCAUGCUCUGUAUCUCUCUGUCUCAAAAAUAA